This 298-nucleotide unclassified non-coding RNA is filed under the name uncultured fungus. Its description in RNAcentral is "partial contains 18S rRNA, ITS1, 5.8S rRNA, ITS2 and 28S rRNA". The record is from RNAcentral. Lineage: Eukaryota; Fungi.
AAGGAUCAUUAUCGAAUAAACUUGAACAGGCUGUUGCUGGUCCCCAGGACAUGUGCACGCUUGUCAUCUUUAUCAUUUCUCCAACUGUGCACAUAUUGUAGACCCUGGAGGUUUUGUCUUUUGGAUUGGUUUCCGAGUUUUGGGACUGCUGUGCCUCGAAGAAAGAGGUCGGCUUUCCCUUUACAUCCUCCAGGUCUAUGUCACAACCUCUCGAACGUGUUUAGAAUGUUGAAUAAAAGGUCCUUUUGUACCUAUAAAGUUAUAAAUACAACUUUCAGCAACGGAUCUCUUGGCUCUC